ACACAACUUCGCAAGCAUGAAAUUGGCGAAUUCAACCUAAAGUCAAAAUUAUAGGAACUUUACGUAGGUCUACAGUUUUAAUUUUGGACUCAUGCACUAGGAAUAUCAUAUCAGCAGAAUUGUGCCACUGAAUCAAAGGGAACUCUUUUUUUUUUAGGUACGCAUGAUCGAUGUAACUUCCUCGAUGGUGUGUUGGCUGUUUGCCCAUGUGUAUUUCAGGGUAUAGGAGUAGCCUCCCCUUUUAAAGAUCCAAAAUGGUGAUUUUACAGUGCGGCAUGCAGUCUGGUCAUCAACGAGGAGUUUUGACACCUGUAAUACCCAUAUUUCUACCAUUCACCUCUGUAACU
Molecule: long non-coding RNA, 347 nt
Organism: Saccostrea cuccullata (small rock oyster)
Lineage: Eukaryota; Metazoa; Mollusca; Bivalvia; Ostreida; Ostreidae
Exons: 3
Source: RefSeq, a predicted model, not a curated record